CAAAGGUGGCAGGACGUGAUGCCAUGGCAGGCAUUACCGCUUCCGCCUUGUCUCUUAAGACACUCUGUAAGAUAAACCAGCCUCUCUGAGACACGAGGAUACACCAUGUGGCAACGCCUCGGGAGGAAGUUAUGAGCCUCUUACCAGCACUGACUCAUCGGAACCGUCAGAACCACAAGCCAACCACACCUUCUGAUGCUCAGUGAAGCUCUGAUGACCGUAACCUGAGACCUCGAGCCAGACCCAAAUUCCUGACCCACAUGAACUAUGUACCAGUGUUUUGCCUGCAGGUAUUUCUGUGUGAGGGUGUCAGAUACCCUGGAACUGGAGUCACAGACAGUUGUGUGCUGCCACGUGGGUGGGGGAAGCAAAUCCAGGUCCUCCAGUCAGUGUUCUCAACAGCUGAGCCCUCUCUCCAGACUUCUUGGAGAAUAAAGGAGCACCUACGAAGACCGCCCUGAGUCUCAGAUCUUUGAACAAUGUUAGAACUGUUGAGCCAAGCAUAAGGCUGUCCAUCUACUGCCCCAGCACAGGGAAGGCAAAGGCACGAAGACGGGGAAUUCAAGGUCAUUCUCAGAAACAUAGCGAGCUCUAGGAUCUCCUUAGCUAGAUAAACACGAAGAGGACAUUCUUCUUGCAGUACCAUUUCUGGGUUCCAGGAGACUUUAAAACCUUGUCUGUCUAAUCACUAAUCUCAAUUAAAUUACUUCUUGACCCGA
Myodes glareolus (Bank vole) is the source of this 719-nucleotide non-coding RNA. Lineage: Eukaryota; Metazoa; Chordata; Mammalia; Rodentia; Cricetidae. The record is from RefSeq and is a predicted model, not a curated record.